GUCAAUUCAUUAGUAUCUAGAGAAAGCAACGGGAGACCCCCACUCAUCUUCACUUAUUUGGUCAUCUUGAGAGAUUAUGUUUUGUAUUAGGUUACUUAUUGAUCCGAGUUCACCCAUGCCGAUUAAGUUGGUCAGACAUGAAAUAUGCUAACCCAAACUAAAUUAAUCAUUACAUCAGAUGUAUGUGACUAAUUAGAAG
Molecule: long non-coding RNA, 199 nt
Filed under: Elaeis guineensis (African oil palm)
Lineage: Eukaryota; Viridiplantae; Streptophyta; Magnoliopsida; Arecales; Arecaceae
Description: long non-coding RNA (EGUI_LNC074527)
Source: RNAcentral